UCGGGAAUUUUGGGCAAUGGGCGAAAGCCUGACCCAGCAACGCCGCGUGAAGGAUGAAGUAUUUCGGUAUGUAAACUUCGAAAGAAUGGGAAGAAUAAAUGACGGUACCAUUUAUAAGCUCCGGCUAACUACGUGCCAGCAGCCGCGGUAAUACGUAGGGAGCAAGCGUUGUUCGGAUUUACUGGGCGUAAAGGGCGCGUAGGCGGCGCGGUAAGUCACUUGUGAAAUCUCUGAGCUUAACUCAGAACGGCCAAGUGAUACUGCAGUGCUAGAGUGCAGAAGGGGCAAUCGGAAUUCUUGGUGUAGCGGUGAAAUGCGUAGAUAUCAGGAGGAACACCGGUGGCGAAGGCGCACAUCUGGCCCGAUACCGACGCUGAGGCGCGAAAGCUAGGGGAGCAAA
This 400-nucleotide ribosomal RNA is filed under the name uncultured bacterium. RNAcentral's name for it is "bacterial SSU rRNA". It matches the Rfam family "Bacterial small subunit ribosomal RNA", at positions 355 to 772 of the family's 1533-position model. The record is from RNAcentral.